This is a long non-coding RNA of Lactuca sativa (garden lettuce), 1271 nucleotides long. RefSeq lists it as uncharacterized. The record is from RefSeq and is a predicted model, not a curated record. Lineage: Eukaryota; Viridiplantae; Streptophyta; Magnoliopsida; Asterales; Asteraceae.
AAUUUUAUUAUUCCUAUGAUCGUGGGUCGGUGGUGUAACUAUUCAUCGGCGAUAUGUGUUCCUUUCAUCCGUUCCUCUCCUUCUACGUGUUUCUCUCUAUGAUUCCACCUUUCUUUUGUCCAAUAUAAAACUUCCAGAUAUCUCGUACCGACUUCAUCUCGAUACUUCACCACUUUAACUCGCCUCUCGGAUAAGCAACCCCAUUUCUUCACUCCACCCUCGCACUGACAGUCUCCUCUCCUUCUGUGAAAGAAGAUCUUUGAUUUCAGAUUUAAGGUGUGCUACACUUUCUGCAAUUCGUUAUUGGGCAAUGAAAAGAAGUAAGGCCGCAGACACCUUCUCGCUAUCGUCGUCACCGACAACUGUGAUUACAAGAAAAGGUUCUGUCAUCUCCGGUUUCAUGUUUUCUUCACUUGCAGCAGCUUCUAAGGGCUUAUUGUUUGCUUAUAAAAAUUGAAUUUGGGGUCUUCAUUGUCUAACAUCUCAUGCUGUAUUUUAUAACAUUUAUGACAAGUGUUUACAAAGUGGAUUUGGAUCCUAUUUGAUGUUUACCAGACGAUGACACUGAUUGCACCACCAAUACACCUCCGAUCCGACAUCCAGAGGUUCAACUGCUUUGUGAUCAACAUAGAAAUGUAGCAGCUUUACAUAGUCGUGAUUGCAGUUUUCAAAGACGACAUCAAAAGAUUAUUGAGGAAGGACCAAUAAUUAUAGCUCCAAAUGACAGAAUAAAGAAGUUGGGAGUAAGGUGCAAGAAGAUUAGUUAAACCAAUGAAUUAUGUUGGAGCUGCAACUGUAGAGUAUUUGUAUAGUAUGGACACAGGGGAUUAUUACUUUGUAGAGCUCAAUCCACGUUUACAGAAUGUGUUGUAGUUGAGGGAGCUACCAUUGAAGCUAGAAAAAGAGCUUUAGAAAAAGCAAUGUCUCAAAAGAAAGUAUCUGAAUAAAAACAUUGAUGUUAGAAAAACAUCUUCUUCUGAUUUAUACAUUUUAAAUGGAACAAGUGGAGAAUCGGCUUAGAGAAGUAAAGCAAUAUUAGAAAAGCAUAACAAGAUCAAGGAAAAUGUGGCUAAAGCUGUUGCAGAGAAAGUAAAACGUAAUCAGCUUGCCCAAAAAGAACAAGUUUAAAGAAGCGUAAUUAUCUUUUUUUAUUCCAUUAAUUUAAUUCAGUAACCAUAUAUAAUAUAGUUUAUUACCCAUUUAUGAUUUUCCCGCAUAUUUAUACUAUAAAUCUAUAAUUCUGACUGUUGUUUUGAGGAAUAGUUAGUAUA